UUAAACGGCCGCGGUACCCUAACCGUGCAAAGGUAGCACAAUCACUUGUUCUUUAAAUUAGGACUAGUAUGAAUGGCCUCACGAGAGCUAUACUGUCUCCCCCCUUCAAUCAGUGAAACUGAUCUCCUCGUGAAGAAGCGAGGAUAAAUUCAUAAGACGAGAAGACCCCAUGGAGCUUAAAACUUACACCACCGCCUACAACUAUACCCACAAGCCAGGCAAUUAUGGUAACUAGUCUUUCGGUUGGGGCGACCACGGAGAAAAACCAAACCUCCACGAUGAAAGGAAUAUUCUAAUUUAAGAGCCACUGCUCUAAAAAUCAAUAAAUUGACAUAAAUUGACCCAAACAUUUUGAUCAACGAACCAAGUUACCCUGGGGAUAACAGCGCAAUCCAUUUCAAGAGACCCCAUCGACAAAUGGGCUUACGACCUCGAUGUUGGAUCAGGGUGUCCUAGUGGUGCAGCCGCUACUAACGGUUCGUUUGUUCAACGAUUAAAACCCU
RNAcentral lists this ribosomal RNA (503 nucleotides) under Plethodontohyla alluaudi (Fort Dauphin digging frog). Its description in RNAcentral is "partial 16S ribosomal RNA". It matches the Rfam family "Bacterial large subunit ribosomal RNA", at positions 1923 to 2597 of the family's 2925-position model. The record is from RNAcentral. Lineage: Eukaryota; Metazoa; Chordata; Amphibia; Anura; Microhylidae.